This 238-nucleotide ribosomal RNA is filed under the name uncultured bacterium. RNAcentral describes it as "partial 16S ribosomal RNA". It matches the Rfam family "Bacterial small subunit ribosomal RNA", at positions 92 to 334 of the family's 1533-position model. The record is from RNAcentral.
CGACCGGCGCACGGUGAGUAACGCGUAUCCAACCUGCCCACCACUUGGGAUAACCUUGCGAAAGGUAAGACUAAUACCCAAUGAUAUCUCUAGAAGACAUCUGAAAGAGAUUAAGAUUAUCGUGAUGGAUGGGGAUGCGUCUGAUUAGCUUGUUGGCGGGGUAACGGCCCACCAAGGCAACGAUCAGUAGGGGUUCUGAGAGGAAGGUCCCCCACAUUGGAACUGAGACACGGUCCAA